ACCCUCCAGUUCCCUUUCCCAUCGGAUCUAAACACUGGUCUUGGUGGUCGUUAAAGGAGGGAAAGGAGGAAUGCUGAAGCUGGCCCCAACGCCUUAUAGUCUGGUAUACUGCAGAUGGGCUAGUUUCAAACAGGG
This is a small nucleolar RNA of Cavia porcellus (domestic guinea pig), 135 nucleotides long. Ensembl annotates it as small nucleolar RNA SNORA61. The record is from Ensembl. Lineage: Eukaryota; Metazoa; Chordata; Mammalia; Rodentia; Caviidae.